This 414-nucleotide ribosomal RNA is filed under the name uncultured bacterium. Its description in RNAcentral is "bacterial SSU rRNA". It matches the Rfam family "Bacterial small subunit ribosomal RNA", at positions 506 to 920 of the family's 1533-position model. The record is from RNAcentral.
CGCCAGCAGCCGCGGUAAUACGAAGGGGGCUAGCGUUGCUCGGAAUUACUGGGCGUAAAGCGCACGUAGGCGGCGAUUCGAGUCAGAUGUGAAAGGCCUGGGCUUAACCCGGGAACUGCAUUUGAUACUGAAUUGCUAGAGUCCAAGAGAGGGUAGUGGAAUUCCCAGUGUAGAGGUGAAAUUCGUAGAUAUUGGGAAGAACACCAGUGGCGAAGGCGGCUACCUGGCUUGGUACUGACGCUCAGGUGCGAAAGCGUGGGGAGCGAACAGGAUUAGAUACCCUGGUAGUCCACGCCGUAAACGAUGGGUGCUAGAUGUCGGGCAGCAUGCUGUUCGGUGUCGUAGCUAACGCGUUAAGCACCCCGCCUGGGGAGUACGGCCGCAAGGUUAAAACUUAAAGGAAUUGGCGGGGGA